AUUGAACGCUGGCGGCAGGCCUAACACAUGCAAGUAGAACGAGUGGCGGACGGGUGAGUAAUGUCUGGGACACUGCCUGAUGGAGGGGGAUAACUACUGGAAACGGUAGCUAAUACCGCAUACCAUCAGGUGUGCAAAGAUGGGCUUAGCUAGUUGGUGGGGUAACGGCUCACCAAGGCGACGAGCCAUAGCGGGUCUGAGAGGAUGAACAACCCCAGUGGAACUGAGCGACGUUCCAGACUCCUACAAGACACAACAUUGCUCAAUAUUACACAGUGGGCGCAAGCCGGAUCCAGCCAUGCCGCGUGUAUGAAGAAGACCGUCGUGUUUUAAAGUACUUUCAGCGUGAAGGCGUUACCCGCAGAAGAAGCACCGGCUAACUCCGUGCCAGCAGCCACGGUAAUAC
RNAcentral lists this ribosomal RNA (406 nucleotides) under uncultured bacterium. Its description in RNAcentral is "partial 16S ribosomal RNA". It matches the Rfam family "Bacterial small subunit ribosomal RNA", at positions 30 to 526 of the family's 1533-position model. The record is from RNAcentral.